UACAGAGGUCUCGAGCGUUAGGCGGAAUCACUGGGCUUAAAGCGUGUGUAGGCGGAUCGUUAAGUACCUUGUGAAAUCCCACGGCUUAACCGUGGAACUGCUUGGUAUACUGGCGGUCUUGAGCCACCUAGGGGCAACCGGAACAAACGGUGGAGCGGUGAAAUGCGUAGAUAUCGUUUGGAACGCCAAUGGUGAAAACAGGUUGCUGGGGGUGUGCUGACGCUGAGACACGAAAGCCAGGGGAGCAAACGGG
This 253-nucleotide ribosomal RNA is filed under the name uncultured bacterium. Its description in RNAcentral is "partial 16S ribosomal RNA". It matches the Rfam family "Bacterial small subunit ribosomal RNA", at positions 524 to 776 of the family's 1533-position model. The record is from RNAcentral.